AUAUCAGUCAUGCAUAGCAUAUCAAUAAGCGGAGGAAAAGAAACUAACAAGGAUUCCCUUAGUAACGGCGAGUGAAGCGGGAAGAGCUCAAAUUUGAAAUCUUCAAGGUUUUACCUUGACGAAUUGUAGUUUAAAGAAGUGUUUUCUGUUGAAGUUUUGGUAAAAGUUCUUUGGAAUAGGACAUCAUAGAGGGUGAGAAUCCCGUAUUUGACCAUUACUUUCAGCUUUGUGAUACACUUUCAAAGAGUCGGAUUGUUUGGGAAUGCAGUCCAAAAUGGGUGGUAAAUUUCAUCUAAAGCUAAAUAUUGGCGAGAGACCGAUAGCGAACAAGUACCGUGAGGGAAAGAUGAAAAGAACUUUGAAAAGAGAGUUAAACAGUACGUGAAAUUGUCAAAAGGGAAGCGUUUGACACCAGUGUUGUUUUCUCGAAAAUCAAUUAAAAAGAGUUGGAUUUUGUGUUGUAUUGACUUUAUCAGCUUUCUUCACUCUUUUCCAGCUUUUUUUAAUGCACUUUUCGUUUAACAAGGUCAACAUCAGUUUCUUUUGUUGUGAAAAAGGUCAUUGGAAGGUGGCUUUCUCUUCGGAGAAAGUGUUUAUAGCCUUUGACUCAUGCAAUCGGAGAGACUGAGGUCUGCAGCGUAGAUCCUUCGGGGUUAGAUACAUUUGUGCUAAGUUAUAGCUUUUCAUAGACAACUUGUUGACUAUGUUUAGUCUUGUAGCUUACUCGCUUAUGCUAUUUUACCUACGCUUAGGAUGUUGAACUCUAUCACACACAG
This 776-nucleotide ribosomal RNA is filed under the name uncultured Neocallimastigales. RNAcentral's name for it is "partial large subunit ribosomal RNA". It matches the Rfam family "Eukaryotic large subunit ribosomal RNA", at positions 22 to 621 of the family's 3401-position model. Lineage: Eukaryota; Fungi; Neocallimastigomycota; Neocallimastigomycetes; Neocallimastigales. The record is from RNAcentral.